UUAAUGUGAAUGAAAAAAAAA
Molecule: non-coding RNA, 21 nt
Filed under: Caenorhabditis elegans
Lineage: Eukaryota; Metazoa; Nematoda; Chromadorea; Rhabditida; Rhabditidae
Source: RNAcentral